UGGGGAAUAUUGGACAAUGGGGGCAACCCUGAUCCAGCAAUGCCGCGUGUGUGAAGAAGGUCUUCGGAUUGUAAAGCGCUUUCGACGGGGACGAUGAUGACGGUACCCGUAGAAGAAGCCCCGGCUAACUUCGUGCCAGCAGCCGCGGUAAUACGAAGGGGGCUAGCGUUGCUCGGAAUGACUGGGCGCAAAGGGCGUGUAGGCGGUUUACACAGUCAGAUGUGAAAUCCCCGGGCUUAACCUGGGAGCUGCAUUUGAUACGUGUAGACUAGAGUGUGAGAGAGGGUUGUGGAAUUCCCAGUNUAGAGGUGAAAUUCGUAGAUAUUGGGAAGAACACCGGUGGCGAAGGCGGCAACCUGGCUCAUGACUGACGCUGAGGCGCGAAAGCGUGGGGAGCAAACAGGAUUAGAUACCCGUGGUAGUCCACGCUGUAAACGAUGUGUGCUAGAUGUUGGGUAACUUUGUUAUUCAGUGUCGCAGUUAACGCGUUAAGCACACCGCCUGGGGAGUACGGCCGCAAGGUUGAAACUCUAAAGUGAA
RNAcentral lists this ribosomal RNA (540 nucleotides) under uncultured bacterium. RNAcentral describes it as "partial 16S ribosomal RNA". It matches the Rfam family "Bacterial small subunit ribosomal RNA", at positions 355 to 911 of the family's 1533-position model. The record is from RNAcentral.